AAAUAUUCAUACAACCGAGAACUUGAUUCCAUAUAUUAUGACUAAUAGUAUGCCACUGUGUGAGCGAGUGGAUAUGUGAGGUGCAUGUUAAGCUCUGCUGAGAAGUUGUGCUUUAUGCAAGAGCCACCAAGAGCCCCUUCACCAGGAGUGGUUAUGAGGACAUCUCCGGAACAUUAUGCAGACACGGUUUCACAGACGGAUUGAUCAAUUCCAUUCAUGGGCCAUCUGUGGGCACCAGGUUGAAACUACUUUCUAAAGACUUCAGAGAUCUGGAUGUUAGAUCUUACCGACGUCAGCUGGAAAAGUUGCUUGACAAGGACAUAAAAACAGACAAGAAGCAUUUUCUGCGAACAUGGAAUAGAAUCAUUUCCAAGCUAGCAUAGGUAAUAAAUGUUUCCAAAUGACGGAACA
Molecule: long non-coding RNA, 411 nt
Filed under: Pogona vitticeps (central bearded dragon)
Lineage: Eukaryota; Metazoa; Chordata; Lepidosauria; Squamata; Agamidae
Description: lncRNA (ENSPVIG00000009394.1)
Source: RNAcentral